Molecule: long non-coding RNA, 1915 nt
Filed under: Daphnia pulicaria
Lineage: Eukaryota; Metazoa; Arthropoda; Branchiopoda; Diplostraca; Daphniidae
Description: uncharacterized LOC124342907, transcript variant X4
Source: RNAcentral
GACCACUUUGGUCUUGUGGCUACUUGUUGACUACCUUUUCAAUAUCGCUGCCUGCCUAUUUUGUCCUCGAGUUAUGCAACAUUUAUUUGAGUUACGUAUUUUUUGAAAACUUUAUUCGGCAGGGAGUUAAUUUAUCGUGUUCUUGCCAACUGCCUGGUCAUUAGUAAGUCGCUAACAAACGAAUUCAAUAGCAAAUAGUGUUGCUGCCAGGAGACGGGGACAUAUUUCAUCCGGAAAACCGCAUCAGCAAUUUGAACCUGUUCCAGUCAAGUUCCACGACGAGAAGCAACGCCUAUGAAAGGUGUAAUCGCUGGUAUCGGAAAUGGAUUUAUAUUCGCGUUCUGAAAGUAAAAAAUAAUCUGGUGGGCGAUUUUAUUCCAGUUGAUUAUCCAAUCAAUUUGUUGAUUGCUGUGGCUUGGUUCAUAGCAACUCGAAGGCCGUCGGGCGUCCCCGUGUAUAGUUGCACCACUGGAUAUCGAAACUCACUGACGUGGGGUAUGCUAAAACAUUGGGUCUUGCAAUCUUGGUUGAAAUUCCCUACAAAAGAUAUGCUGUGGUAUCCUAGCGUUCAUUACAUAACUAACAAUCUUUCGCUCAAAAUCAACCAGACGUUCACUAUCUGCCAGCCUACUUGAUGGACUUGUUUAUGCUAGCGACGGGCAAACGUGCAAAAUGGGUCCGGUAAGGUGCAGAAAAUUUCAACAAAAACGAAGCUUUGCAAUCCAUCCGUUCCGACGAUUCCGUACAGUCAAACGUGGUAAUCGUGAGGGAAUCUUUUGGCUCUCGGUAGGUGGCUAAAAUGGUUUGUCCCCCAGCCACCAGGUGACGCGAGUGUCUUAGUGAGGAGGGAGGACGAAAUAUUUGCCAUUUGUUUCCAAAACGCUGUCUGAAAGUGUAUUCUAAAUCAUAGUCCGAAUUCACUACGGAAUUGCGGUGUCGAUCUAAAUUUUCAGCCAUGAAAUGGCAAUCUGGCGUAUAAUUUCACUUGGCCAAAUAAUGUGACGACGUGGGUGGAAAAUGCUGUCCAAUGUCGGCCAUUGUUAGCUGUACCUAUACGGCUGUCGGCUGCACGUCUCAUCUCGUGCAGAAACACUUCGGAGCUAGUAAAGUUGGAGAAGGAGAUCCCUUUGCUCAACUAUUGCAGAAAUUGUGAACACGACAAAGUCUGAGCUUCUUGGCUGUUCAUCAACAUGGUUUUGUUGCAACCAGCUGGUGAAAGAUGUGAUCGAGUCAAGUUGAGCUGCAGGUGCUGCAUGCAGUUUAUCAAGCUGGUGUUAUCCCAAGUGUCACUCCAGGAAAACUUCUGGAAUUGGCUGGAGAUGCUGCCUUCUUUUGUAAUAGCAAAUUGGGUCGUCGUCGUAUGGAACAUCAUCAUUUUGCUGUUGUAUCGGGGUGAUUGGCUGGAGAGAACAAUACUGGCAAGGAAACAUGGAUGAACAACUGCAGUGCACUGUCACCAAGUGCAUUCUUCGUCGUAUUAUCAGUACGCAAUCGGUGUCGUGCUGUUGCCGUUUGUCGUAUCGUUGAAGGUUGGGUCGAUCACUGGCGUACCCAUAUCUCCUGGGUAUGGCGGAUACCAAAGCACCACGCCGUCACCUUGCUACACAACGACAACAUUCGCACCGACCGGUUACUACACUGAGGGCUACAAUUACUACACCAUCAAGGCUCCAGAGUAUUAAACCGCAGCUAAUGCUGUCCCAAGCUCAAUCACCAAAGAUCCCGAGUACUACACCGAGGCUCCCAAGUACUACACCGAGGCUCUAAGUGCUACACCACCAAGUCAUCGGAGUACUACACGUAUGUUGCCCCAGCUUAUACACCGAGGCUCCCAAGUAUUACUUAGUUCCUAGCUACUACACCGAAGCUCCAACUUUAUUACACCACCAAAGCGGCUGAAUACUACACCGAGCCG